This 268-nucleotide ribosomal RNA is filed under the name Sphingomonas sp. 3-11. RNAcentral's name for it is "partial 16S ribosomal RNA". It matches the Rfam family "Bacterial small subunit ribosomal RNA", at positions 556 to 823 of the family's 1533-position model. Lineage: Bacteria; Pseudomonadati; Pseudomonadota; Alphaproteobacteria; Sphingomonadales; Sphingomonadaceae. The record is from RNAcentral.
GGGCGUAAAGCGCGCGUAGGCGGCUAUUUAAGUCAGAGGUGAAAGCCCGGGGCUCAACCCCGGAACUGCCUUUGAAACUGGAUAGCUUGAAUCCAGGAGAGGUGAGUGGAAUUCCUAGUGUAGAGGUGAAAUCGUAGAUAUUCGGAAGAACACCAGUGGCGAAGGCGGCUCACUGGACUGGUAUUGACGCUGAGGCAGCGAAAGCGUGGGGAGCAAACAGGAUUAGAUACCCUGGUAGUCCACGCCGUAAACGAUGAUAACUAGCUGU